AUGUUGUCUGCGGAAUCAUCUUCGCAGGGGAGGAAAGAGUUCGAGUCGGAGGUGAAGAUCAUAAGUCGGCUGAGGCACCGGAACCUUGUGCACUUGCUAGGCUGGUCCGAUAGCCGCAAGGGGCUCCUACUCAUCUACGAGCUCGUUCCUGAAGGCAGCCUUGACCGACACAUAUACAGCACUAGCCGCCUCCUCACGUGGUCAGAGAGGUACAAGAUCAUCCUUGGUCUAGGAUCUGCACUACGCUAUCUCCACACAGAGUGGGAUCAAUGUGUGCUGCAUGGCGACAUCAAACCCAGCAACAUACUACUUGACUCAUCAUGCAACACCAAGCUCGCGGAUUUCGGGCUGGCU
This 354-nucleotide ribosomal RNA is filed under the name Triticum aestivum (bread wheat). RNAcentral's name for it is "partial small subunit ribosomal RNA". The record is from RNAcentral. Lineage: Eukaryota; Viridiplantae; Streptophyta; Magnoliopsida; Poales; Poaceae.